GUGCCAGCAGCCGCGGUAAUACAGAGGGUGCGAGCCAAGUUCGGAAUUACUGGGCGUAAAGCGCGCGCAGGCGGCCCUUUAAGUCCACUGGUGAAAGACCGGGGCUCAACCCCGUGUCAGCCAGGGAUACUGGAGGGCUGGAGACACGUAGAGGCAAGCGGAAUUCCGGGUGUAGCGGUGGAAUGCGUAGAGAUCCGGAAGAACACCGGAGGCGAAGGCGGCUUGCUGGGCGUGAUCUGACGCUGAGGCGCGAAAGCGUGGGGAGCGAACAGGAUUAGAUACCCUGGUAGUCC
This 293-nucleotide ribosomal RNA is filed under the name uncultured microorganism. RNAcentral describes it as "partial 16S ribosomal RNA". It matches the Rfam family "Bacterial small subunit ribosomal RNA", at positions 505 to 796 of the family's 1533-position model. The record is from RNAcentral.